UGAUUUGUUGGACGCUAGCGGCGGAUGGGUGAGUAACACGUGGGCAAUCUGCCCUAAAGACUGGGAUACCACUUGGAAACAGGUGCUAAUACCGGAUAACAACAUGAAUCGCAUGAUUCAAGUUUGAAAGGCGGCGCAAGCUGUCACUUUAGGAUGAGCCCGCGGCGCAUUAGCUAGUUGGUGGGGUAAAGGCCUACCAAGGCAAUGAUGCGUAGCCGAGUUGAGAGACUGAUCGGCCACAUUGGGACUGAGACACGGCCCAAACUCCUACGGGAGGCAGCAGUAGGGAAUCUUCCACAAUGGACGCAAGUCUGAUGGAGCAACGCCGCGUGAGUGAAGAAGGUCUUCGGAUCGUAAAGCUCUGUUGUUGGUGAAGAAGGAUAGAGGCAGUAACUGGUCUUUAUUUGACGGUAAUCAACCAGAAAGUCACGGCUAACUACGUGCCAGCAGCCGCGGUAAUACGUAGGUGGCAAGCGUUGUCCGGAUUUAUUGGGCGUAAAGCGAGCGCAGGCGGAAUGAUAAGUCUGAUGUGAAAGCCCACGGCUCAACCGUGGAACUGCAUCGGAAACUGUCAUUCUUGAGUGCAGAAGAGGAGAGUGGAACUCCAUGUGUAGCGGUGGAAUGCGUAGAUAUAUGGAAGAACACCAGUGGCGAAGGCGGCUCUCUGGUCUGCAACUGACGCUGAGGCUCGAAAGCAUGGGUAGCGAACAGGAUUAGAUACCCUGGUAGUCCAUGCCGUAAACGAUGAGCGCUAGGUGUUGGGGACUUUCCGGUCCUCAGUGCCGCAGCAAACGCAUUAAGCGCUCCGCCUGGGGAGUACGACCGCAAGGUUGAAACUCAAAGGAAUUGACGGGGGCCCGCACAAGCGGUGGAGCAUGUGGUUUAAUUCGAAGCAACGCGAAGAACCUUACCAGGUCUUGACAUCCUGCGCUACACCUAGAGAUAGGUGGUUCCCUUCGGGGACGCAGAGACAGGUGGUGCAUGGCUGUCGUCAGCUCGUGUCGUGAGAUGUUGGGUUAAGUCCCGCAACGAGCGCAACCCUUGUCUUUAGUUGCCAUCAUUAAGUUGGGCACUCUA
Molecule: ribosomal RNA, 1077 nt
Filed under: Lactobacillus delbrueckii
Lineage: Bacteria; Bacillati; Bacillota; Bacilli; Lactobacillales; Lactobacillaceae
Also listed under: 1 other name
Description: bacterial SSU rRNA
Rfam family: Bacterial small subunit ribosomal RNA
Source: RNAcentral